AUACUUACCUGGUGCCGGGGCCUUGUUGAUCACCGAAGACGAGCCCCCAGGGCGAGGCGCGGGCAUUGCACUGCGCUGGCGUUGACCCCUGCCACUACCCCAAACUAGGGCAGAUGGGUCGUGUCAUGCAUCUUAAAUCCGGUGCAACGCCAGAGACGGCGUCACCAC
RNAcentral lists this small nuclear RNA (168 nucleotides) under Haemaphysalis longicornis (longhorned tick). RNAcentral's name for it is "U1 spliceosomal RNA". It matches the Rfam family "U1 spliceosomal RNA". From Rfam's summary of the family: U1 is a small nuclear RNA (snRNA) component of the spliceosome (involved in pre-mRNA splicing). The record is from Rfam by way of RNAcentral. Lineage: Eukaryota; Metazoa; Arthropoda; Arachnida; Ixodida; Ixodidae.